CAUUGUCAAGCACACGAAAUCUGCUCGCGUAACAAGUAACAAGUGAAGUUCUUACGAAACGUUACCGCACCGCCGCAGCUUCUAUUGAGCUGUUAGCUGGAAUGACAGCAAAGUAAUUACACACAUACGCUGCGUUUUCUCGCUCAAGCACGGCACUCCGUCGUGCGUGGCUUAUAUUCUGACUGCUGUUGUAGAAGUCGCGGGGCGCUUUUUUUUUUUUUUUUUUGUGUUGCUGGGUGUACGUCGGAGAGACUUUCUCGCGUAUGCUGCGCUCGUGCUGAGUCAGUCGUGACGUAUUAUUUCUCGCGCCUUACGGCGCUCUACCUUCAAAUAAUAUCACUGAUUUUCCCGAGGGAACAGUGGGGGCCUAGUAGAGACCGGGCUUGCUCUCUUGGAGCAGUAUCUUCGCGCAUGCCCGGCUCUUUUGUUGUUUCCGGUGUACAAUCUGUUUCGCACUUAGGGGAAAACUCGGAGCGCCUUGCAUCGCGAUGCGGCGAGCGCUUGAGUCAGGCGACGGCAGCAGCGCGCGCAGGCGUAGGUGCUCGAGUGGCGGGGUCUUGAGCGGCGUCGUCUGCUACGGCGACGCGCGCUGGCCGCAUUGUCAGGAAGCGUGCUACUGUCAGGGGCAGUGCGCCGAUGUCAUCGUUACUGCGUGAAAUGAGCCGGUAUUCUUUACUAAGCGUUGUGCGACGCCCCCUGAUGCGCCUCGAUGACAAUCAGGGACGCCAUUUCAGACCCAGCAAAUUUGGAUGUCAGCAGAAUAAAAGUCUUGCUGGAGGCAACGCUGGAAGCUCGGCGGAAAAGCCCGGAGAAUGAACUUCCUGUGUACUUUCUAAACCCAGACGUGCUUGCACUUGAGGCCGAACUGAGGUUUGAAGCUUCUUAUGAAGACAUGCUAGCCAAGCUUCAACAUAUUCGAAAGAUGCUGGGUCGAACGAGCUUCAUCGAGAUUGACGAGUACCUUCGGCCAAAAAAAGCUGAAUUUGCCCUGAUCUCAUUGGAGACACAUGAACGAGGUGUGCCUAUUCCUGGCCCUUGUAUCAUCGCCCAAGAUGGACACAAAGUCGUCUGCAAGGGCCACACCAUUGAUCUGGCUGCGGGAUCAUCACUGGAGCAUGCUCUAAUCAUUUGCGUAACACUUUAUUUUAUCUUGGAUAUCACGUACCCAAAUGCAUUUGGUCAAACUUUGGGUUUGGUCCAGACAGCAUUAGCUAAGAGGGAGCCUUUUCCACGCUGCUUGAUGUCACACAAACUUACGCUGUGUUUAAAACAGUUGAAACAUCCUGCAAGAACUCGUUAGCUGAUGAGAUGCUGUAUGUAAGAUCUCCUUUUUUCUUUGAGCACAAACAAUGCAAAGAGGUAGCAGUGACUCACACAAACCUACAAACUAAAGGACAGCUUUUGGGUUUGGUAGUUCUAAAAACGCAUUGCUUAAAGUUGUGGCCAGUCAUAACAGCUUUGCUUUAAGCAUGUACACGCAUUGUCACCACAUUUAGGGCAACUGUUUAUUGGUCUAUUUUCUUUUUUGACUUUGGGCGACAAAUGAUAGGUGUGAUUUUUUGCAAGUGUAUGCGGCAUACUCAAAGCGAUACUGUUGCACUUUGUAGAAAAAUGCGUGUUGCUACAGUGAGGCAUAACAACACUUAUGAGGCUCGCAUUAAAUACAUUACUCUUUCUAGAUUAAAAAAGAAAAUAGCUGUCAUAUCAGCAAAUUUGCAGUAAGUGUCAUUUUCCAAGCUCGUAGCUAAACAUUGAUAUUCGCAGUUAUUUGUUUUGCGUACGUUGUAAUGGCAAAAUUGCAGCCAUCCACCAAUUAUGACUUUUCCACUUAUUAGGAAUUGCCAAACCCGCUGUUCUCAAACAUUGGUCCUGAACAUUCGAGCCCAAAUUUCGACCAAUAACACAUUCGUUGGGUGAACUAGAAUAACCAAGUCUUGUGUCACAGUUCCAGGAUAUUCUGAUUAUAAAGACUUAAUAUUGUGUCUACAAGAAAUUGUGUUAAGCUGCAGUUUUUAAUUAGUGUAUAUGUGCUACAAAUAUAAAUGAACAAGGCAAUUUGUGAAUGGAGCUUAUUAUUAAGAUGUCAGGAAAACUGACAUUACUGAAAUGCCAUUUCUUAUGACAAAUUUUUUAAACUACGAAAGGCUGUUUUUAAUUUCAAACCUUUUUGAUAUGACAUCCUGCAUAAAAAUUAAGCAUUGUCAAAUGCUACAUGAGGCUAGUAGGCAGUUUUUUGUUUUUUUUAGCAAGGUCUGUACCUGCCCUUCAGUUUACAAGUUGUGAAUGACUUGCAAGUUGUCUUAUCUAUAGUCAGAGAAAUGCUUUUUGGAGGAAAAGUGUGUCCUCAUAUACAGGGCUUGCAACAUGAGAGUAGUAUUUUGUGAUUGCUGAAAGUUAGUGUUUCUAUCGGCUGUUUUGAAUGUUUUCUUGCUGUAUAACAGCUUUAGAUGCAGGGGCAGCCCUUCCCUUCUAAGCAUGUAAAGGUUAAAAAAGAAUUUUGACCUCUUAUAUGAAGCAUUCCUGUCAGCCUUCAUUUUAGUGGCAACACAUCUUGUUCUUUCCUCUUUGUAGCCUUCUGAAUUACUCCUUGUUCUCUGUGGUCGAUGCAGUGGAAUAGCUGUUUAGUGCUUGUGCUUGCUUGGCUCUGGUGAGCGGUGUUAUAGCAAUUUAGGAAGCUACCUUGCUUGCUUUAGUGGUUUUGAUAAAAUUCAUGAUACAGCAGGAAAUGCUGAGUAGCGGUGAAUUGUAAUCGGUUAUAACUAAUAGCUAAUGCCGGAAGGUUUAUGCCUGCCUGCACAUUUAGUUUGAAGCAAUGUCUGUACCUGUUUUUAAGACCACAAGCUGCCUUAUAGUUUCGUCUUAUCUAGUCGGGCAGAAAAGUCCUAUUUGGAGGAAGCUGUGUCCUUUUAAUGCUUUAUGAGUUAUCUAUUUCUUUAGCACUACCUUGUUGUAGU
Molecule: long non-coding RNA, 2954 nt
Organism: Dermacentor albipictus
Lineage: Eukaryota; Metazoa; Arthropoda; Arachnida; Ixodida; Ixodidae
Source: RefSeq, a predicted model, not a curated record